This 663-nucleotide ribosomal RNA is filed under the name uncultured Bacteroidales bacterium. Its description in RNAcentral is "bacterial SSU rRNA". It matches the Rfam family "Bacterial small subunit ribosomal RNA", at positions 64 to 717 of the family's 1533-position model. Lineage: Bacteria; Pseudomonadati; Bacteroidota; Bacteroidia; Bacteroidales. The record is from RNAcentral.
GAGGGGCAGCAUGAACUUAGCUUGCUAAGUUUGAUGGCGACCGGCGCACGGGUGAGUAACACGUAUCCAACCUGCCGAUGACUCGGGGAUAGCCUUUCGAAAGAAAGAUUAAUACCCGAUGGCAUAGUUCUUCCGCAUGGUAGAACUAUUAAAGAAUUUCGGUCAUCGAUGGGGAUGCGUUCCAUUAGGUUGUUGGCGGGGUAACGGCCCACCAAGCCUUCGAUGGAUAGGGGUUCUGAGAGGAAGGUCCCCCACAUUGGAACUGAGACACGGUCCAAACUCCUACGGGAGGCAGCAGUGAGGAAUAUUGGUCAAUGGACGAGAGUCUGAACCAGCCAAGUAGCGUGAAGGAUGACUGCCCUAUGGGUUGUAAACUUCUUUUAUACGGGAAUAAAGUGAGGCACGUGUGCCUUUUUGUAUGUACCGUAUGAAUAAGGAUCGGCUAACUCCGUGCCAGCAGCCGCGGUAAUACGGAGGAUCCGAGCGUUAUCCGGAUUUAUUGGGUUUAAAGGGAGCGUAGGCGGACGCUUAAGUCAGUUGUGAAAGUUUGCGGCUCAACCGUAAAAUUGCAGUUGAUACUGGAUGUCUUGAGUGCAGUUGAGGCAGGCGGAAUUCGUGGUGUAGCGGUGAAAUGCUUAGAUAUCACGAAGAACUCCGAUUGCG